GACGAACGCUGGCGGCGUGCUUAACACAUGCAAGUCGAACGAUGAACCACUUCGGUGGGGAUUAGUGGCGAACGGGUGAGUAACACGUGGGCAAUCUGCCCUUCACUCUGGGACAAGCCCUGGAAACGGGGUCGUAAUACCGGAUAACACUGUCACGGGCAUCUGUGGUGGUUAAAAGCUCCGGCGGUGAAGGAUGAGCCCGCGGCCUAUCAGCUUGUUGGUGAGGUAAUGGCUCACCAAGGCGACGACGGGUAGCCGGCCUGAGAGGGCGACCGGCCACACUGGGACUGAGACACGGCCCAGACUCCUACGGGAGGCAGCAGUGGGGAAUAUUGCACAAUGGGCGAAAGCCUGAUGCAGCGACGCCGCGUGAGGGAUGACGGCCUCGG
RNAcentral lists this ribosomal RNA (389 nucleotides) under uncultured bacterium. RNAcentral describes it as "bacterial SSU rRNA". It matches the Rfam family "Bacterial small subunit ribosomal RNA", at positions 28 to 420 of the family's 1533-position model. The record is from RNAcentral.